RNAcentral lists this ribosomal RNA (373 nucleotides) under uncultured organism. Its description in RNAcentral is "bacterial SSU rRNA". It matches the Rfam family "Bacterial small subunit ribosomal RNA", at positions 526 to 896 of the family's 1533-position model. The record is from RNAcentral.
CGUAGGGUGCAAGCGUUGUCCGGAAUUAUUGGGCGUAAAGAGCUCGUAGGCGGUCUGUCGCGUCGGCUGUGAAAACCCGGGGCUCAACCCCGGGCCUGCAGUCGAUACGGGCAGACUAGAGUGCGGUAGGGGAGACUGGAAUUCCUGGUGUAGCGGUGAAAUGCGCAGAUAUCAGGAGGAACACCGGUGGCGAAGGCGGGUCUCUGGGCCGUAACUGACGCUGAGGAGCGAAAGCGUGGGGAGCGAACAGGAUUAGAUACCCUGGUAGUCCACGCCGUAAACGUUGGGCGCUAGGUGUCGGGGACCUUCCACGUCCUCGGUGCCGCAGCUAACGCAUUAAGCGCCCCGCCUGGGGAGUACGGCCGCAAGGCUA